AAAGGGUAAUUCUUAGAUUGCAGAAAGGUUAAAGGCUACAGUUUGGAAAGAGUGAUAGCAUAUGAUUGGUUUCAGAAUGUAAAAAGGGCAGCUCUCUGGCAUGUUCCUGACUGAGGAUCUCAUAACAUUUAACUUGAGGAACUUCCUCCUUUUCCAGCUUUCGGAGUCAAGGUGAGACUCCUGGGGACCUAGGUAGGAAGUAUCUGAAGACUUGGGAGAGGAGGCACAGUCCUUGGGAAGCCUGAUAAAGGGAAGAGGUUGGAGUCCACGUGGCAGAAUGGCCAUUGUUUUCUUUCUCCUUAAUGGAUAUUAAAACUUAUUGGUAAGAGCACUUAGGAUGGGUAAACUGACUUACAUAGAUAAAUACAGCAUGUGUAAAUGAUAAUUUCAAGUUUAUGCCAUUAAGCUCCUGGAUUCUAAGUAACUAAAAACACAGUUUAUUAAAUUAAAGGACAAGUUAGGUAGUGGCUAUAAUUAACAAAUCCUAUAGAGACCUGCCUAUCAGCAUGCAGACUUGUCUUCAUAAUUGAGUGACUUUAAGAAGGGAUGUCUUCUCUCCCUUUGCCUCACAAACCAACAUCCCCCCAGUCCCCAGUGCGAUUCCUAAGGUUGGUAACCCACCGGACAUGCAUGGGCCCCUAUGUCUGAAAAUCUUUCUUGAAGUCUGCAUGUUCAAGGUUUGAAAGUUGGGAUCUGGUUAUUUAUUUUUUCACCUUCCUUCACUCCAAUGUUCUGGGUAUGGAUUGACAUUCCCACCUCCCUUCCUUUGCUAUUCGGACCUCAGAGAUCUUGAGGGGUGAGUAUGUCUCAUCCAGAGACAGGGCGUGGUGACUUCCCUAGGAGAUCAUGAGUUUAGGUUAAUGCUUUAAAAUCACUGGAGGGAAGGAGCAGACAAAACUAUAAAAACAUUCUUGGGGCUUUGAGGAGAAUGAGGAGCAGAGUUAUGGAAGGAAGGGUGGGUGGGUGUAUAUUUAGAUAGGAGAGAGAAGGGGAAAAGGGGAACCCCCUCCUUGCCACUCAGGCUCUCCCAGGGCCGAAGUGACACCCCCUCCUCCUCCUGCCCUAAUCCCCCCAUUAAGGCAGCUCUGAGUUUGUUAUGACAGCGGCUGAAGGCUGCUGAAUUGCUGUUUGCUGUGUCUGCUAAUUGGACUGAAGGGUUGGAGUCUGGACACUGAAAGGGACCAUUGUUGCUGUUUACCUUCUACAGCCGCCUCCCUGGGGACCCUCUGGGUAAAGGGGAGCAGCAGCACCCCCUUAGGGUCAUUGCACCCAUUUCCUGCACAAGGGACUGCAGUGGGGAGACAGUUCGUCUCAUUGCCUUGGGGUGGUUUGAGCUUCUACAGCACAGAGGAGACAAGCCAACACCUGAGCCAGUCUCAUCUCCAGGCCAGGCCUAGGGGCCAUCCAGGAGCUCCCAGGAAAGAGGAGUUACAUGCUUGUCUUUCUCCUUUUUAUUCAUUCCCUUCUUCUUUAGGGAUCUUUGCUUUGCCUCUUCCUCCAGCUAAUCAGGCUUCACCCCUGCCCCUUUUCUGACCUGCUUUCUUCUAGCUUCUCACCUGGGGCGGGUGGGUGCUGCACUACCCUCUCACCCUCCUUCCUCCGUGUGGACGACAGAGCCACAUCCAGCACCACGGACAGCUCCCGGGCGACCAAAAAGAAGAAUGUACUUCAUCCGGUUGGGCUGGAUUCCCUCUGAUAAGCCUUCCCAGUUGACUGAAAGAUGAGGCUAGGCUCUAGCAAGUUAAAGUCGAACCAGCUCCUUCAAGAAGCUUUGAGCAGAAUGAAGUGGGGAGGACCCAGCUUCUGGCCCAGGAAGUCCACUGUACCUGGAGCCAUCUGGGAUAAGACUUUGACCCAUGACUCCCAUAUCCACAACCUGUCCAUCCUGGCCCAUCCCAGUUUAUCCUGUAUCAUUUGAGCUGGGGUUCCCACAUCCUCUGAGAUGGAAGUCCCAUCUCAAGUCUUCAAUAAAGACUCUUGAAUAUUGAAUCA
Molecule: small RNA, 1992 nt
Filed under: Pongo abelii (Sumatran orangutan)
Lineage: Eukaryota; Metazoa; Chordata; Mammalia; Primates; Hominidae
Description: processed transcript
Source: RNAcentral